RNAcentral lists this ribosomal RNA (253 nucleotides) under uncultured bacterium. RNAcentral's name for it is "partial 16S ribosomal RNA". It matches the Rfam family "Bacterial small subunit ribosomal RNA", at positions 524 to 776 of the family's 1533-position model. The record is from RNAcentral.
UACGGAGGGUGCGAGCGUUGUUCGGAAUUACUGGGCGUAAAGGGGGCGUAGGCGGUUUGUUAAGUCAAAUGUGAAAGUCCACGGCUUAACUGUGGAAGUGCAUUUGAGACUGGCAGGCUAGAGUUUCGGAAGGGAAAGUGGAAUUCCUGGUGUAGGGGUGAAAUCCGUAGAUAUCAGGAGGAAUACCGGUGGCGAAGGCGACUUUCUGGACGAAUACUGACGCUGAGGCCCGAAAGCGUGGGGAGCAAACAGG